CGGGGGGUGCAAGCGUUAAUCGGAAUUACUGGGCGUAAAGGGUGCGUAGGUGGUUGAAUAAGUUAGCUGUAAAAUCCCCGGGCUUAACCUGGGCAGGUCAGCUAAGACUGUUUGACUCGAGUAUGGGAGAGGGUAGUGGAAUUUCCGGUGUAGCGGUGAAAUGCGUAGAGAUCGGAAGGAACACCAGUGGCGAAGGCGGCUACCUGGCCUAAUACUGACACUGAGGCACGAAAGCGUGGGGAGCAAACAGGAUUAGAUACCCUGGUAGUCCACGCCGUAAACGAUGUCAACUAGCCGUUGGUCAUAUUAAAAUGAUUAGUGGCGCAGCAAACGCGAUAAGUUGACCGCCUGGGGAGUACGGUCGCAAGAUUA
RNAcentral lists this ribosomal RNA (372 nucleotides) under uncultured organism. Its description in RNAcentral is "bacterial SSU rRNA". It matches the Rfam family "Bacterial small subunit ribosomal RNA", at positions 526 to 896 of the family's 1533-position model. The record is from RNAcentral.